CAGCAGUAGCCGCGGGAAUACAGAGGGUGCGAGCGUUAAUCGGAUUUACUGGGCGUAAAGCGUGCGUAGGCGGCUUCUUAAGUCGGAUGUGAAAUCCCUGAGCUUAACUUAGGAAUUGCAUUCGAUACUGGGAAGCUAGAGUAUGGGAGAGGAUGGUAGAAUUCCAGGUGUAGCGGUGAAAUGCGUAGAGAUCUGGAGGAAUACCGAUGGCGAAGGCAGCCAUCUGGCCUAAUACUGACGCUGAGGUACGAAAGCAUGGGGAGCAAACAGGAUUAGAUACCCCCGUAGUCCCUGUCUCUUAUAC
RNAcentral lists this ribosomal RNA (304 nucleotides) under uncultured bacterium. RNAcentral's name for it is "partial 16S ribosomal RNA". It matches the Rfam family "Bacterial small subunit ribosomal RNA", at positions 506 to 807 of the family's 1533-position model. The record is from RNAcentral.